GAGUUUGAUCAUGGCUCAGAACGUACGCUGGCGGCACGCCUAACACAUGCAAGUCGAACGAAGUAGCAAUACUUAGUGGCAGACGGGUGAGUAACAUGUGGGUAUCUGCCCUUUGGCCUGGAAUAACACGAGGAAACUUGUGCUAAUACCGGAUAAGUCUUUACGGAGAAAGCUUUAUGCACCAUUGGAUGAGCCCGCACUUGAUUAGUUUGUUGGUGGGGUAAUGGCCUACCAAGACUGUGAUCAAUAGCUGAUUUGAGAGGAUGAUCAGCCACAUUGGGACUGAGACACGGCCCAAACUCCUACGGGGGGCAGCAGUGGGGAAUCUUGCACAAUGGAGGAAACUCUGAUGCAGCGAUGCCGCGUGAGUGAAGAAGGCCUUUGGGUUGUAAAGCUCUUUCGUCGGGGAAGAAAAUGACUGUACCCGAAUAAGAAGGUCCGGCUAACUUCGUGCCAGCAGCCGCGGUAAUACGAAGGGACCUAGCGUAGUUCGGAAUUACUGGGCUUAAAGAGUUCGUAGGUGGUUAAAAUAGUUGGUGGUGAAAUCCCAGAGCUUAACUCUGGAACUGCCAUCGAAACUUUUUAGCUAGAGUAUGAUAGAGGAAAGUAGAAUUUCUAGUGUAGAGGUGAAAUUCGUAGAUAUUAGAAAGAAUACCGAUUGCGAAGGCAACUUUCUGGAUCAUUACUGACACUGAGGAACGAAAGCAUGGGUAGCGAAGAGGAUUAGAUACCCUCGUAGUCCAUGCCGUAAACGAUGUGUGUUAGACGUUGGAAAUUUAUUUUCAGUGUCGCAGCGAAAGCGAUAAACACACCGCCUGGGGAGUACGACCGCAAGGUUAAAACUCAAAUGAAUUGACGGGGACCCGCACAAGUAGUGGAGCAUGUGGUUUAAUUCGAAGAUACGCGCAGAACCUUACCAACACUUGACAUGUUCGUCGCGACUCUGAGAGAUUAGAGUUUUCGGUUCGGCCGGACGAAACACAGGUGCUGCAUGGCUGUCGUCAGCUCGUGUCGUGAGAUGUUGGGUUAAGUCCCGCAACGAGCGCAACCCUCACUUUUAGUUGCCAUCAUUAAGUUGGGCACUCUGAAAGAACUGCCAGUGAUAAGCUGGAGGAAGGUGGGGAUGACGUCAAGUCCUCAUGGCCCUUACGUGUUGGGCUACACACGUGCUACAAUGGUAUCUACAACAGGAAGCAAGACUGCGAGGUCAAGCAAAUCCUUAAAAGAUACCUCAGUUCGGAUUGCACUCUGCAACUCGAGUGCAUGAAGCUGGAAUUACUAGUAAUCGUGGAUCAGCGUGCCACGGUGAAUGCGUUCCCGGGUCUUGUACACACCGCCCGUCACACCAUGGGAGUUGGUUCUACCUUAAGGCAAGGUUUCAAACCCUUGACCACGGUAUAGUCAGCGACUGGGGUGAAGUCGUAACAAGGUAACC
Molecule: ribosomal RNA, 1435 nt
Filed under: uncultured marine bacterium
Lineage: Bacteria
Description: bacterial SSU rRNA
Rfam family: Bacterial small subunit ribosomal RNA
Source: RNAcentral